GCACCAAUUAUGCUAAUAAAUUGGCACGUUAGCACGUUACUGCAAUAUCCCAUAGUACAUACAUGUUAUUAAAACUUGAACUAAUGCAUUGUGAGUCUUAUAAAUUGCUUACAUACCUCACCGAUUUCCCACUGUUUGGAAAACGCUCGGUUUAGUUCCUGUCUCCGCCUCCCAAAAUGUCUAGUGUAAUCGGAUUGGUCAGAUGACUACUCAACUGUUAUUGGUCAGCUGGGUUCGGCGUGUGUUUGAAAGGUUACGCCCCUGACUACGCGUGGGUUUUCCGGUUCUGACUGAGAGUCACAGCCUCAGAGGCAACGUAAACAAGCGUUAUAUUUCUCUAUAAACGAUGGUGUCUGUACUGCCUUACCACUUAGAGCUCGAUCCAGAGAGUUCAGAAGGCCGUUACGAUAUAAACGAUCUCCGUCAAUGAAUGCGAUUGGAUUUAACUUUUUUAGGUGUCCUUAUCUCUGCCAGAAUGCUAAACGAAGACGAAAAUGUGUUGCAAAGACAUCCAAAAGCUUUUAAGGAGAAUGCAACAGGUUCCAGGGCCUCUUACCUGCGUGAUUCAUCAUCCAGGUUUUGCACAAAUUGUCUAAAUCCCUACACACAGAACAUUUAUUGUACCGACUAUAAGCCUUUGAGGCGCAGGACUAGAAUAUGCUUGGAGCUUCCUGAUCGGAAUGUUGGCUUCCGACGACCCCUACACUGAAGAUGGCAUGCAAUCACGUCCUCUUUUGAAGGUCUCUCAAACUGUGAUGCCAGGUCCAUUGGAAUCGGGGUUUCCUUCAGCUUAUCUUCAAAUACCUCAUCAAACACAAGCCUGAUCACAUCAUCCACAUAACUGUACAAAUAUUGCAGUCAAUAAAUCUUUUGUUUUGAUCAUUUA
This is a non-coding RNA of Misgurnus anguillicaudatus (oriental weatherfish), 886 nucleotides long. The record is from RefSeq and is a predicted model, not a curated record. NCBI's taxonomy places the organism in Eukaryota, Metazoa, Chordata, Actinopteri, Cypriniformes, Cobitidae.